Gymnogyps californianus (California condor) is the source of this 270-nucleotide long non-coding RNA. RefSeq lists it as uncharacterized. The record is from RefSeq and is a predicted model, not a curated record. NCBI's taxonomy places the organism in Eukaryota, Metazoa, Chordata, Aves, Accipitriformes, Cathartidae. The transcript is spliced from 3 exons.
AGGCAGAAGCCUCAUCUACUUCUCCAAGAAAAUAAAUCAAAACUUUGUGAAAAAAAUUCAUAAACACCCUUGUAAGUGGAAACACGGUUUCCGGCCUCCUACCUGGAUUGCUCCCAAAUAGGGCAGAGAGCAUCUUGGACACGGGAAAGCUGAACACUUGUAGUAUUGGGUUGCAAGAUGGAAAGGAUUGUUGCAAGAAAGUUGGACUUGUACUUUGCCACAGCCACAAACUAAACAGGUCGAGUCUGGUUUGCCUGUGACCAUAACUGG